GCAAAUCUGAUGAGACAAUCGGAGGCCUUGAAACGCAAAAUCGAAGCACUAGACUCGGAGACCAAGACCUCACUCGACUCACUCAAGAAGAGAGAACUCAGCAUCGACGACAGCGUCAAGAUUGCAGUCAACCGAGUCGAGCUUCUAAAAAAAGAUGCUUUGAAAACCUUAAACGACGACAAUCCCGACGGAGAAGUUGACAACGGAGACGGCCUUUUGCAAAUCCUGAAAUCAACGUGUUUGAGAAUGGAAGCUAAAGAGUUCUGGAACUUUGUCUCCGGCCGGAAGAAAGAUAUCGAAUUAUUAAGAGAGAAAAUUCCAGAAGCUUUAUCGGAAUGCAUCGAUCCAGCGAAGUUCGUUAUGGAGGCCAUAUCGGAGGUAUUUCCGGUGGAUAAAAGAGGGAAUGAGAGAGGAAAUGAUUUAGGAUGGGCUUGUGUUUUGGUUCUAGAAAGCUUGAUUCCGGCGGUGGUUGAUCCAGUGAUCGGAAAAUCGAGGAUGCUGAUUACGCGGAGUGUGAAAGAGAAGGCGAAAGAAAUCGCGGAGACAUGGAAAAGAAGCCUCGAAGAGAGAGGAGGGAUUGACAAUGUGAAGACUCCUGAUGUUCAUACUUUUUUUCAACACUUGAUUACGUUUGGGAUUGUUAACGAAGAGGAGUUGGACCUUUAUAGGAAGCUUGUUAUUGGCUCUGCUUGGAGGAAACAAAUGCCUAAGCUUGCAGUUUCGCUUGGCCUCGGUGAUAAAAUGCCUGGUAUGGGGAUUUUCUUCUCGUGAUUGAAUUACAGUAUUUUUAAAACUUCUUAUGAAUUAUGAUUUAGUUUCUGUUAGUGAGAAUAUGAUUAAGAGUUUCAAAAAUGGUGCAGCUUAUUAGAGGAGCUUGUGUUCUAGAAAUUGGGUUUUUAACUUAAGCACUGGGAAUGGGGAUAUUAAUCUUCACUGUGAUAGUGUAGCAAAAGUGCAGAAUUAACUUAAUUGUUGUAAAGAUAAGUUUAUAGGGCAUUUCAUGAGCAGUAUUGCUUGCAUUUAGGAGUCUUAGAUACAAUGAGUAUGAUAUAUAUUUUCUUUUUAUCCUUGGAUGGUUGGCUGGAAUCAAAAUUCAUUGGGCAUGUUGGUUGAAUUUUGGCUGGCCAUGGGUACUUCUUCAAAAUGAAGAAUCCCUAGCCGUAGUUGAGAGACGUAAUUAAGUGACUCGUAAUGAAAGAUGUUACUUAGCUACUACUAAUCUAACAUGUUGGUAAAGCAUUUGUCUUUUCUUUUGUAAGAUUACAUACUUUGGAGAUGAUUCAUGCUUGUGUAUAAGCUCGCACGUGAUUUGACUGGUCCUUAUAUAUAAAAAUGUGUGUGUGUAUGAAGGUAUUUGUACACAUGGUCUUCUCAUUAUGUUGGUUGAUGUUUUUGGAAGAUAGUUUCUCUUCAGAGGACCAUUUACUUUUAUCAUUUUGGGAAUUCGGUGCUGUGUCUUGUGAAGAGUUUACUAGCUAGUUGUUGUGGUUCAAAUAGAAUUAAGAACAUAGAACUUCAUGUUGAGAUAGGUAAAGCUAGAUAUUCAUGGUAUUGGAUUACUAAGAAAAAUCUGACUUCAAAGGUGUUAGUAGUGGAGCCUAAUGGAUGUAACAUGCAUGACUCAAAUAAGAUUGAAUGCCUAAUUUUUAUAUCGAUCUACGUUUAGGAUAAUUAAUUUUUAUGUUAUUUUAACACUGUUAAAUCCUUAACAUGGUCAAUAUUUCAUUGAAAACAUAGCUUUUGUUGAUCCUUUCUAUGACUAUUUACCAUAGUUAAUUGGAACCUGACUCAUUAAAUUACAAUUACAAGAUUGAGUUUGUAAUGCCUUUUAAGUUCUUUUCUGCAGACAUGAUUGAAGAAUUGAUCAGUAAAGGACAACAGCUUGAUGCAGUUCAUUUCACUUAUGAAGUCGGGCUCGUUGACAGGUUCCCCUCUGUGCCCCUGCUAAAAGCUUUCUUGAAGGAUGCAAAGAAGGCAGCUUCAUCUAUUUUGGAAGAUCCCAAUAAUGCCGGCCGGGCUGCGGUAUGCCAUUCUUUAGUUGUACUGAUAAUUGGUUUUAUUCUUUACUAUUAGUGAUAUUCAAUUAUCCUUUUCUUUGCGUAAGCAGAGUGUUCUGUUCUCUUGUUUGAUUGCUGUCAUAUAUUCUUUGUGGCGGUUAAUGGUAUUGAGGCUCACUUUUUAUUGUGAGGAUUAGGGAUGUGGGAUUUUCUCUAGAUUUUAUCUAAGAAAUAUUCAUAAAAGCUCUUUGCAUACCUUUUUAUCUCCUAAUUAAUGCCAAAAACCAAGAAACCGGUGGUAUUGACUAUUGACAAAUAGGUGGGAGAGAUUGAUUGGUCAUGGUUGUCUAUACCUUAAAGUAUUCUUCAUUUCUAGCAGUUAUGUUUCUACUAAUAAGUAGUAGUUCUUGAUUUAUACAGCAACUUGCUGCACGCAAAGAGCAAUCAGCACUUCGGGCAGUCAUGAAGUGCAUCGAAGAGUACAAACUUGAGGCAGAGCUUCCCCCAGAAAACCUCAAGAAACGCCUUGAGCAGCUAGAGAAGACCAAGACUGAGAAGAGAAAGCCAGCUGCAGUUCCUGCUAACAAGCGAACACGGGCCAGUAAUGGCGGUCCAAUGCCUCCAGCUAAAGCUGGCCGUUCAACGAAUGCAUACGUCUCAUCUUUUGCAGCACCACCGUCAAUUGUCAGGUCUCCCUCACACCCUCAGUACCCUGCUGCAGUCCCAGCAUACCCGUCCCCCCCACCUGCCAUGUACGGAACCCAAACCCCACCCACCUGUCCGUAUAUGUACUCACCAGAAGCAGCCCCUCAGCUAGCUGGUUCUUACCCUGGAGCUCCCAUGAACUAUCCUGCAUAUGGAGGGUAUGGUAAUGGUAUAGCACCAGCAUAUCAGCAGGCUUACUACUGAUAGACGAUGACUACU
This 2921-nucleotide long non-coding RNA is filed under the name Gossypium barbadense (sea-island cotton). RNAcentral's name for it is "long non-coding RNA (GBAR_LNC013932)". The record is from RNAcentral. Lineage: Eukaryota; Viridiplantae; Streptophyta; Magnoliopsida; Malvales; Malvaceae.